RNAcentral lists this ribosomal RNA (330 nucleotides) under uncultured bacterium. RNAcentral's name for it is "bacterial SSU rRNA". It matches the Rfam family "Bacterial small subunit ribosomal RNA", at positions 568 to 898 of the family's 1533-position model. The record is from RNAcentral.
CGCGUAGGUGGUAGUGCAAGUCUGAGGUGGAAUCUUAGGGCCUAACCCUAAAAUUGCCUUGGAAGCUGCAUUACUUGAGUCAGUGAGGGGAGGGUAGAAUUCCUGGUGUAGCGGUGAAAUGCGUAGAUAUCAGGAGGAAGGCCGGUGGCGAAGGCGGCCCUCUGGCGCUGAACUGACACUGAGGCGCGAAAGCGUGGGGAGCAAACAGGAUUAGAUACCCUGGUAGUCCACGCCCUAAACGGUGGGCACUAGGUGUAGGGCUCGUAAGGGUUCUGUGCCGAAGCGAAAGCAUUAAGUGCCCCGCCUGGGGAGUACGGCCGCAAGGUUGAA